Molecule: ribosomal RNA, 397 nt
Filed under: Clostridia bacterium
Lineage: Bacteria; Bacillati; Bacillota; Clostridia
Description: partial 23S ribosomal RNA
Rfam family: Bacterial large subunit ribosomal RNA
Source: RNAcentral
GAUCAAGCUACAAAGAGCGUAUGGAGGAUGCCUUGGCACUAAACGCCGAUGAAGGACGCGACAAACUGCGAAAAGCCACGGUGAGCUGUUAAUAAGCAUUAUCAGCCGUGGGUCUCCGAAUGUGGAAACACACUUGGGCAAUACCCAAGUAUCAUAACAGGAAUACAUACUGUUAUGAAGGGAACCUAGGGAACUGAAACAUCUAAGUACCUAGAGGAAAAGAAAGUAAAUAACGAUUCCCAGAGUAGUGGUGAGCGAAAUGGGAGGAGCCCAAACCUAUGGUAGUAAUACCGUAGGGGUUCGGACCGCAACAUAGAAUGUGUAUCAUAGACGAAGAUGGUUGGAAAGCCACAUGACACAGGGUAAUAGUCCCGUAGUCGAAAUGAGAAGCAUAUUA